Molecule: long non-coding RNA, 649 nt
Organism: Quercus robur (English oak)
Lineage: Eukaryota; Viridiplantae; Streptophyta; Magnoliopsida; Fagales; Fagaceae
Exons: 2
Source: RefSeq, a predicted model, not a curated record
GAAAUAAUAAAAAGGCAGUUGGCUCGAUAGUCCCCACUCCUCAGAGUUUUCAGAUCAAAAGUGAUCGGAUGAUUUAGAUCAGAGGAAGCUUGAGCCAAGCAGCCACCAACAGUGGAGAGAAAGAAUGAGAGAGGCGGAGAGCAAGGGUUGAGAGAAAAAAGCAGAGCAAGAAUAAGAAAGAGAAACGUUAUCCAAUUUCACGUUGGAAGUUUUUCCCUUUCAUUUCAUGAAAAAAUUUCCGAUUACUUUUCUUAAGAAAAGUAGUAGAAAACCCGAAUCUCCGAAUGAAGAGCAAGGUUGUUUGGCCGCGACCAAAUCCGAAAACUCAAGCUCCGCUAACGAGGCCCCACCGCAACUCAAAGUCAAAGAAAUCAACGGUCAUGAUCAAGGACUACCCCAGUCGCCAAGGUUAACCAUAAGGCUAAUUAUGGGUCCAAAUCCAAUGACUUGCUUAUAGUUGCAGAGAAAGGCCAGGUUUUUUAUUUUUAAUACUUGUGGGUUUGUUUAUAUAUUGAUUUGCUUGGUUUGAGGAUUUAAUUUUAGUGCUUUGUUGGACAAAAUUUACUUUGAUUUACUGAGAGUUAUGGAGAAAAUUGGAGAUACAGAAUUGGGACUACUUUUAUUCUUACUUUAGCAGCUUUUAUACUUA